Drosophila persimilis is the source of this 327-nucleotide long non-coding RNA. RefSeq lists it as uncharacterized. The transcript is spliced from 3 exons. Lineage: Eukaryota; Metazoa; Arthropoda; Insecta; Diptera; Drosophilidae. The record is from RefSeq and is a predicted model, not a curated record.
CGCAUUGUAGAAAGUUGGACGAGCAAAUAGUGGUGCGACUGGGCGAAUUCGAUGUCGAUACACAGAUAGAUUGCAGAGAUCGAGGAUGCGCACUUCCCUUUGAAGACCAUGAAGUCGAGUCCUUUUAUUCGCAUCCUUCCUACACGACGCUCAAGCACUUCGAUAUAGCUCUCGUUAAACUCAAGACAAGGGUGGUAGAGCAAAACAACAUCACACCGAUCUGUCUGCUUUUGGACACCACGGACACAUGGCAGCGCUAUGUAGAUUCCAUUCAACAGUUCUCUGUGGCCGGCUGGGGCUGGACUGAAGCGGGUUCGUUUAGCCACG